RNAcentral lists this long non-coding RNA (247 nucleotides) under Setaria italica (foxtail millet). Its description in RNAcentral is "long non-coding RNA (SITA_LNC004635)". The record is from RNAcentral. Lineage: Eukaryota; Viridiplantae; Streptophyta; Magnoliopsida; Poales; Poaceae.
UGAGGCCUUGGUCUAUGAACGUAGUCCAGCCACAGUUAGCUUGAACCUUAGCCUCUUUCUCUUCACCAUCCCGUCACUCUCAGCCUCUCAUCAUCCAACUCCAGAAGCUCCCAUCUCUCCUGCCUGAAGCAAAGGUUCAUUGCAACCUGAGAACCUGGGUAGAGAACUCACUUUCCAUGCACCCCCUUUUAUCCCGAUUUAAAGUUGAUCCGGGAUAAAAGAUGCUCUAGUCCCGGGUCAAAUAUCA